UUUCCGACUCGAGCACGCGAGCGCGUCACUUCUCCAGCCUUCCUAUUCUCUGAUCCUUACGCUGAACGAAGACUACGUCAAAAUGAAAUUCUUUAUGAUUUUCGUGGUUAUGAUGGUGGUGAUGCUGGCGCUGGUGAGUGCGGCUCCCCAACUCGUCACCACCAAGAGGAAGUUUCCUGGCCAACGUCGCCUGGGGGCCACCAACUACGGCUUUUAUUCUUACGGCAAACAAGGAUUCAAAAAGAGGAAACUCUAAAGCCUGAAUAAUCCUGGAAAUUUAAAACCUGGCCACUUCUUACCGGUGAUUCGUUUCACCAGAAAUCCUCACCAGCGCUUCGAUUUUUUCGGACACCUGCGUUGUGGUCAGAGAGAGUUUCGUGUUUAUUGCGCGCGUCUUACGCAUUUUCAUAUCUUUGUUAUACUUAGUUUGUAGCCUUGUCUGAUAGCUGAAAAAUUAUUUAGUUGACGUUGAUUAAAGUUAAAUGCGGCUAGAAGUUAAUUCUAAGAGGUUCUCAAAUCUCUAAUUGAAGCAGGAAAAGCGUUGUUUUUACAAUUUACUAUGCAUAAGCAUGCGGAAAGAUUUCAUUUUUUUUAAAUGCGUCGUUUACAACUUCAUCAAUUAGAGUCUAUUUAUUCGAAAAAUUAGUGAAAAAUAAAUGAGUAUCUUCUGUGUUAAUGAACAUUCAUAUAGUUCAGAUAAUCUAGAAGCAAUGAUGGUCUUGAAAAUUUGAGAAAUAUUCAUAUUGCUUUCAGUCAUUUCAAUUCUUUAUUUUUAUUUCUAAAGAUAUUCAUUUACUUAAGGUCAUUUGUACAGCUUGCGUGGUCAUCUCAUUGAAAUUUUUGGUACCUUUUGGUCAUUGGUACCUUUCAAUAAAUGUUAUUUUCAACCGUUCAUCAGAAAACGAAUUAAUCAUCAGCUGACCAAUCACUUAUGAAACUCGAUUACAGCAUAUGAGUUCGCAUUUUUUAAAACAACCUUAUAUCUACAUUACAAUUUACUUCUCGUUCAUUUUCUCGAAAGCCAAGUUCAAGUUUCGAUUGCCGUCUUGCAUUUAAGUUUUCAAAACAAAUUGCAGAAUUACUUAUAUUUAAAAGCGUUAAUUAGCAGACAAAAUUUUGUAAUACAAAGAAAACUUGAAAAAUGACUUUUCAUCCUUCCUCACCACCAACAGGGUUUCGAAGAAAAUUUUUUACAAGGAAAUUCAAUGCUCUAAAAAUAACUUGUUCUCUAUCGACAAAUUUAAAAUGGUUGUAAUAAUGCCAGUUUGUGUUUUUUUCGCUUUAAAAUUUGGAUUUGGUCAGAAAGUGCUUAAGUGCUUAUUUGUAAUCGGUUGUUUGUGUUGCCUGAACGUUAGCAGAAUUUCCGGAGAAUUUUAUUCAACUAAUUUUGUAUGAGAUUUGUAUUCGAUUCCACACUAUUUAAUUUUAAAGGCAAAUCAACCAACGCCUAUUAUUGACUAUAAUUUGUGAUUCAUCUACAAUGAACCCUGAGGCGGUCAUGAGAUACUUCACUUCUUUGUAGUAAUUGUUAUUCCAUCUCAUUCUCGCUUCAAUUGCAGAAAUUAUCAUCUAAUUCCCAUCUAGUUCUCGCUUCAAUUCUCCUUCUCAAUUCAUUCAAGCUCUAAAUAUAUAACGAAAUCCUUCUAAAGACAACCCAUACCGAUUUGAGUCAUAAAAAACACCGACUAACAAUUUGUAUAAUAUUAAUAGAUCCCGUAACUGGGUCUACAGUCAUUCAGGACCUAUCACAAUGACAUGAAAUAGAAAAAAGUGACCCCAGAUAUCUCUGGCCUGGCAAAAUCCAUUUGGAGAUUUCAAUUUCGUCUAAAUUCUUGGGCGCUGCUUUAGCUUAUUUUCACAAUUGCUAGAUAAAUAAAUUUCACUUGCCUUUUUGUAACUAUCUUAUAAUAGCCCUACCUAAAAUAUACAUUCAAAAUUAAUUUGAACUUGGGUCUUAGUGUAACAUGUUAAUUCAACAUGUUUUUUUGUACUAUUUCGCUUCCUAGUUAAAAAACAACUAGCAAUACAAGGUGGUCAUUUUUUUUGAAUUGACAAUUCGAAGCCUCAAAUUUUGGUACAAAUUUCAAACUGCACAGUUCAUUUCUUCAGAAGUUCAGAGGAAAAACCGUAAACUGUUUUUUAGAGGCUUGCACAUGUGCAUGCUCGUAAUGGCAAAAUAAAUCGACUAAUUAGGCUUCAAGGCUUAUGUAUGCAGGUUCCCAACCUAGCAAUUUUGUUGCAAGACUCCAUCAUGAUGCCAUUACACGAUGCCAUUAGGGUGACUACUAUAAAUAUUAUUACAGUGACUUUUCGACUAUAAAUGUAAGUAUAUAGAAUAAAAAUAAUAAAUGGCUUUAAGAAUAAAUUACAAUUUAUAUGUUAAUAUGAUUUGAAAAGUACGAGCGAUUUUUAUCUUUUGCAGCAAACAUUAAAAGAAAUGAAUAAAUUUUA
Molecule: long non-coding RNA, 2451 nt
Organism: Hyalella azteca
Lineage: Eukaryota; Metazoa; Arthropoda; Malacostraca; Amphipoda; Hyalellidae
Exons: 4
Source: RefSeq, a predicted model, not a curated record